GGCAAGUGAGCGAAUGGUCUAAAAGGAAAGAAGGGAAUCAAAUUAAAAAAACAAAAGGAUGUCUGAAGUUUCAAAAUCCUAGAAACAGUUAGACUCGAGACCUUGCAAAUGAUUCUUGUUAAAUAAUUUAACAAUUAAUCAUUUAUUUGGGCCUUUAUUAUCCAUUUCUUUCACAACCCUUUAACCCUUAGCCACGUUACAAGCCAAUUAAAGUCUACGCCGAUUGAAGAAUGUUUGUCCUAGUCUUUCUCACGAAUUUAACUCUGGAACGAAAUGAUGUGGUGAAUGACACAAUCACUUGAAAAAAAAAAGAAAAAGCAUCGAAAAAGAAAAAAAAAUAAAAAAAAAAGAUGUGAAGUCUCCUUGUCAAUAAAGAAUCAUUAAUUUGGGGCAAUCUUUCCUAACCAAACCUUUCCACAUCUCCAAAGCAUGCCUACUGUUCAAAAUUGAGGCAGUCUUGUGAGCCCGGCGUGUCAGUCGCACUUGCCCCCAGAUGAGAGACACACAAGUGUUAAUAUUGCUCACAAAUAAUCAUUUAGCCACCUACCUUUCGUCCCUUUUUCCCACACCUCCUCGGGUUCAAGCUGGUUUGGAUUGCAAAAGGUGAUAAAAGGAAUUUGAACGCACAAUUAUCUUAUCUUCCUUCUUAUCAGAAGACUCACUGUCUCUUUACAAUAUUAUUAAUGAAUGCAUUAUGAAUGUACAUCGAGUUUGACGACAAUAUUGACAACAGAUUCAAAGCAUGGAAUCUUUCAAAAAAAAAGGAAAAAAUGAAGAAGAGGAAGCGAGAACAAAAGAAAAGAACAAAACGAAGGUCUCAUGUGUUUACGCAUCCAUACAUCCUCAUGUCAUUACAUCAUAAAUAUCAAGGGAAGCGAGG
This 880-nucleotide long non-coding RNA is filed under the name Vigna radiata. RNAcentral's name for it is "long non-coding RNA (VRAD_LNC017293)". Lineage: Eukaryota; Viridiplantae; Streptophyta; Magnoliopsida; Fabales; Fabaceae. The record is from RNAcentral.